This 587-nucleotide ribosomal RNA is filed under the name Salmonella enterica. RNAcentral describes it as "partial 23S ribosomal RNA". It matches the Rfam family "Bacterial large subunit ribosomal RNA", at positions 711 to 1232 of the family's 2925-position model. RNAcentral also lists the same sequence under 1 other name. The record is from RNAcentral. Lineage: Bacteria; Pseudomonadati; Pseudomonadota; Gammaproteobacteria; Enterobacterales; Enterobacteriaceae.
AGACCCGAAACCCGGUGAUCUAGCCAUGGGCAGGUUGAAGGUUGGGUAACACUAACUGGAGGACCGAACCGACUAAUGUUGAAAAAUUAGCGGAUGACCUGUGGCUGGGGGUGAAAGGCCAAUCAAACCGGGAGAUAGCUGGUUCUCCCCGAAAGCUAUUUAGGUAGCGCCUCGUGAAUUCAUCUCCGGGGGUAGAGCACUGUUUCGGCUAGGGGGCCAUCCCGGCUUACCAACCCGAUGCAAACUGCGAAUACCGGAGAAUGUUAUCACGGGAGACACACGGCGGGUGCUAACGUCCGUCGUGAAGAGGGAAACAACCCAGACCGCCAGCUAAGGUCCCAAAGUCAUGGUUAAGUGGGAAACGAUGUGGGAAGGCCCAGACAGCCAGGAUGUUGGCUUAGAAGCAGCCAUCAUUUAAAGAAAGCGUAAUAGCUCACUGGUCGAGUCGGCCUGCGCGGAAGAUGUAACGGGGCUAAACCAUGCACCGAAGCUGCGGCAGCGAACGUAUCACUUAAAGCGAUUCAGCGGGUUACGAUUGACGGAGCGAAGCGACGUCAAAGCGUAUACAAAGUCGAGUCGGUUUAAGG